This 474-nucleotide ribosomal RNA is filed under the name Streptococcus sp. oral taxon 061. RNAcentral describes it as "bacterial SSU rRNA". It matches the Rfam family "Bacterial small subunit ribosomal RNA", at positions 28 to 485 of the family's 1533-position model. Lineage: Bacteria; Bacillati; Bacillota; Bacilli; Lactobacillales; Streptococcaceae. The record is from RNAcentral.
GAUGAACGCUGGCGGCGUGCCUAAUACAUGCAAGUAGAACGCUGAAGCUUGGUGCUUGCACCGAGCGGAUGAGUUGCGAACGGGUGAGUAACGCGUAGGUAACCUGCCUGGUAGCGGGGGAUAACUAUUGGAAACGAUAGCUAAUACCGCAUAACAGUAGAUAUUGCAUGAUAUCUGCUUGAAAGGUGCAAAUGCAUCACUACCAGAUGGACCUGCGUUGUAUUAGCUAGUUGGUGAGGUAACGGCUCACCAAGGCGACGAUACAUAGCCGACCUGAGAGGGUGAUCGGCCACACUGGGACUGAGACACGGCCCAGACUCCUACGGGAGGCAGCAGUAGGGAAUCUUCGGCAAUGGGGGGAACCCUGACCGAGCAACGCCGCGUGAGUGAAGAAGGUUUUCGGAUCGUAAAGCUCUGUUGUAAGAGAAGAACGAGUGUGAGAGUGGAAAGUUCACACUGUGACGGUAUCUACCA